Molecule: ribosomal RNA, 749 nt
Filed under: Escherichia coli
Lineage: Bacteria; Pseudomonadati; Pseudomonadota; Gammaproteobacteria; Enterobacterales; Enterobacteriaceae
Description: partial 23S ribosomal RNA
Rfam family: Bacterial large subunit ribosomal RNA
Source: RNAcentral
AGUCUGCAUGGAGCCGACCUUGAAAUACCACCCUUUAAUGUUUGAUGUUCUAACGUUGGCCCCUUAUCGGGGUUGCGGACAGUGUCUGGUGGGUAGUUUGACUGGGGCGGUCUCCUCCUAAAGAGUAACGGAGGAGCACGAAGGUUGGCUAAUCCUGGUCGGACAUCAGGAGGUUAGUGCAAUGGCAUAAGCCAGCUUGACUGCGAGCGUGACGGCGCGAGCAGGUGCGAAAGCAGGUCAUAGUGAUCCGGUGGUUCUGAAUGGAAGGGCCAUCGCUCAACGGAUAAAAGGUACUCCGGGGAUAACAGGCUGAUACCGCCCAAGAGUUCAUAUCGACGGCGGUGUUUGGCACCUCGAUGUCGGCUCAUCACAUCCUGGGGCUGAAGUAGGUCCCAAGGGUAUGGCUGUUCGCCAUUUAAAGUGGUACGCGAGCUGGGUUUAGAACGUCGUGAGACAGUUCGGUCCCUAUCUGCCGUGGGCGCUGGAGAACUGAGGGGGGCUGCUCCUAGUACGAGAGGACCGGAGUGGACGCAUCACUGGUGUUCGGGUUGUCAUGCCAAUGGCACUGCCCGGUAGCUAAAUGCGGAAGAGAUAAGUGCUGAAAGCAUCUAAGCACGAAACUUGCCCCGAGAUGAGUUCUCCCUGACCCUUUAAGGGUCCUGAAGGAACGUUGAAGACGACGACGUUGAUAGGCCGGGUGUGUAAGCGCAGCGAUGCGUUGAGCUAACCGGUACUAAUGAACCGUGAGG